AAAGGAAUAGACGGGGACCCGCACAAGCAGUGGAGUAUGUGGUUUAAUUCGACGCAACGCGAAGAACCUUACCAGGGCUUGACAUAAUACUGAAUAUACCAGAGAUGGUAUAGCCCUUCGGGGCAGUAUUACAGGUGGUGCAUGGUUGUCGUCAGCUCGUGUCGUGAGAUGUUGGGUUAAGUCCCGCAACGAGCGCAACCCUUGUCUUUAGUUGCCAUCAUUAAGUUGGGCACUCUAGAGAGACUGCCGGUGAUAAAUCGGAGGAAGGUGGGGACGACGUCAAAUCAUCAUGCCCCUUAUGUCCUGGGCUACACACGUACUACAAUGGCUAUUACAACAGGAAGCGAAAACGUAAGUUGGAGCAAAUCCCAAAAGAUAGUCCCAGUUCGGAUUGUGGGCUGAAACUCGCCCACAUGAAGUCGGAAUUGCUAGUAAUUGCAGGUCAGCAUACUGCAGUGAAUACGUUCCCGGGUCUUGUACACACCGCCCGU
Molecule: ribosomal RNA, 491 nt
Filed under: uncultured bacterium
Lineage: Bacteria
Description: bacterial SSU rRNA
Rfam family: Bacterial small subunit ribosomal RNA
Source: RNAcentral